Molecule: long non-coding RNA, 853 nt
Organism: Cyprinus carpio carpio
Lineage: Eukaryota; Metazoa; Chordata; Actinopteri; Cypriniformes; Cyprinidae
Source: Ensembl
GAGCCGCUGCUCUAAGGGAAAACAUAGUACUUUGUGAAUGUCGAGAUAGCAGAGGGAAUCUGCCCAAUUCUGCCCUGCAGCUGAGACUUGGGACAUCUUUAUGAAUUCCUAAGAUGUUUUUGCAGAACUCAAGGUUCUCCAGAGCUCGGGUGCAGAGGACUGUCAACCAUGUGCUUGGGUAAGAGAAGAGAGUCUCCUCACCGGGGGGAGCACGGCCGACAAUAGGCCCUAAUUAAAGCAUGCUGUGGGCUGACAGAGCCCAUUCUUCUUGACUGUGUCCCGUUUAAACUGGGCCUCCCUUCCUGUGCCAUCCACACCCACCUUACUUCACUAAUUUUAAGGGGAACCAUGAAGGCUUAAUACAAGACCUUGGAUGACAGGAAGCAAAUGCGACCUGUUCAACCUCUUAGGAACAAAAGUGACGUGAUUCUUUUAUUAAACAAAGGAGCAAAGGAAAUCAAGCAACUCUCCUGUGACUCAGCUGAAGAGAACAGCCUGUGCAAUGAGUAUAAAUGUUUUUGUAAGAAGAAAAUCAAACAGUUCUGGCACAACACAAGGGAGCUUGGAUGCACUCACAUGUCUCAGAAGAUCUUUAAAUGAGUUUGCAGGGUGUCAUUAAUACAUCGGACUGCAUGAAUAAACCAGCAAACCCAGCAGUGGCGGGUCUGUGAUGCUUCUGGAACGGCUGGGACUAGAGCCAUGAAUCAUGUCAUCUGGUCGGGCUUAUGAAAAGAGCUCUGCGUCUGUUCUCGCCACUCAGACAGACAGAGAGACCAGAGCGGGGUGGUACUAAAUCAUACAGCUCAUCACUUCCAAUGCAUUUGCUCAGCAAGACAUAUUCUGGAUUUAUGGG